This 440-nucleotide ribosomal RNA is filed under the name uncultured bacterium. Its description in RNAcentral is "partial 16S ribosomal RNA". It matches the Rfam family "Bacterial small subunit ribosomal RNA", at positions 338 to 795 of the family's 1533-position model. The record is from RNAcentral.
CCUACGUGGGGCAGCAGUAGGGAAUAUUGCUCAAUGGGGGAAACCCUGAAGCAGCAACGCCGCGUGGAGGAUGAAGGUUUUCGGAUUGUAAACUCCUUUUGUUAGAGAAGAUAAUGACGGUAUCUAACGAAUAAGCACCGGCUAACUCCGUGCCAGAAGCCGCGGCAAUACGGAGGGUGCAAGCGUUACUCGGAAUCACUGGGCGUAAAGAGCGCGUAGGCGGGAUAGCAAGUCAGAUGUGAAAUCCUAUGGCUUAACCAUAGAACUGCAUUUGAAACUGUUAUUCUAGAGUAUGGGAGAGGUAGGUGGAAUGCUUGGUGUAGGGGUAAAAUCCGUAGAGAUCAAGAAGAAUACUCAUUGCGAAGGCGACCUGCUAGAACAUAACUGACGCUGAUGCGCGAAAGCGUGGGGAGCGAACAGGAUUAGAUACCCGUGUAGUC